ACAUUAGCAUGGGAUAAUGGAAUAGGACCCUGUCCUCCUAUUUUCAGUUGGUUUUGGCAGCGCGAGGACUAGGGUAAUGAUUAAUAGGGAUAGUUGGGGGCAUUAAUAUUUAAUUGUCAGAGGUGAAAUUCUUGGAUUUAUGAAAGAUUAACUUCUGCGAAAGCAUCUGCCAAGGAUGUUUUCAUUAAUCAAGAACGAAAGUUAGGGGAUCGAAGACGAUCAGAUACCGUCGUAGUCUUAACCAUAAACGAUGCCGACCAGCGAUUAGGAGACGUUGAAUACAAAACACCACCAUCGGUGCGGUCGUCCUUGGCGUCGGUCUUUCGGGGCCGGCGCGGGGACGGCUUAGCCCGGUGGCACCGGUGAAUGACUCCCCUAGCAGCUU
RNAcentral lists this ribosomal RNA (385 nucleotides) under Acanthamoeba sp. Its description in RNAcentral is "SSU rRNA". It matches the Rfam family "Eukaryotic small subunit ribosomal RNA", at positions 801 to 1089 of the family's 1831-position model. Lineage: Eukaryota; Discosea; Longamoebia; Acanthamoebidae. The record is from RNAcentral.